GUGAAUCAUCGAAUUUUUGAACGCAAAUUGCACUCUCUGGUAUUCCGGAGAGUAUGCCUGUUUGAGGAUCAGUUUAAAUAAAAAUCGGUGUGGUUGCUGCCUUUCGUGGUGACGCACCGGAUGUGGGUCGUCUUGCCUUCGGUUAAGUGACCUAAAAUUUUGCAUGAUUUUUUCGAACGUAUUUAAUUGAUUUAAGUAAGGUUGGCGAUUUCGAUAAUUAGGUCCG
RNAcentral lists this unclassified non-coding RNA (226 nucleotides) under Glomeraceae sp. RNAcentral describes it as "partial contains 5.8S ribosomal RNA and internal transcribed spacer 2". The stretch from base 1 to 71 matches the Rfam family "5.8S ribosomal RNA", at positions 84 to 154 of the family's 154-position model. The record is from RNAcentral. Lineage: Eukaryota; Fungi; Glomeromycota; Glomeromycetes; Glomerales; Glomeraceae.